This 239-nucleotide non-coding RNA is filed under the name Limosilactobacillus ingluviei. RNAcentral's name for it is "Lactobacillus ingluviei T-box sequence". It matches the Rfam family "T-box leader". Rfam says of the family: Uncharged tRNA acts as the effector for transcription antitermination of genes in the T-box leader family. T-boxes are found upstream of many aminoacyl-tRNA synthetase genes and some amino acid biosynthetic genes usually in Gram-positive bacteria. The record is from RNAcentral. Lineage: Bacteria; Bacillati; Bacillota; Bacilli; Lactobacillales; Lactobacillaceae.
AAAAACACGUUGAAAAGAAGAGUAGCUAUUAGCAGAUGGCAAGAGAGUCCCCGUUUGGUGUGAGAGGAUGAUUUACUUAUAGUGAAAAUCACUUUGAGUGCCAGGAUGAAAGAUAGUAAUUUCUGGUGGGAGUAGCCCAUUAUAGCUACCGUGUUUAAUACAAAGAGUAUUGAACAUUUGAGGCUAGUAGUGUGAACUACUGGCGAAUAAAGGUGGUAACACGCAGAAGCGUCCUUAGA